UACGGAGGGGGCUAGCGUUGUUCGGAAUUACUGGGCGUAAAGCGCACGUAGGCGGCUUCUUAAGUCGGUGGUGAAAUCCUGGAGCUCAACUCCAGAACUGCCUUCGAUACUGGGAGCUCGAGUCCGGGAGAGGUGAGUGGAACUGCGAGUGUAGAGGUGAAAUUCGUAGAUAUUCGCAAGAACACCAGUGGCGAAGGCGGCUCACUGGCCCGGUACUGACGCUGAGGUGCGAAAGCGUGGGGAGCAAACAGGG
RNAcentral lists this ribosomal RNA (253 nucleotides) under uncultured bacterium. Its description in RNAcentral is "partial 16S ribosomal RNA". It matches the Rfam family "Bacterial small subunit ribosomal RNA", at positions 524 to 777 of the family's 1533-position model. The record is from RNAcentral.